GAUGAACGCUGGCGGCGUGCUUAACACAUGCAAGUCGAACGGAAAGGCCCUACUUGCAGGGUCCUCGAGUUGCCAACGGGCGAGUAACACAUGGGUGAUUUGCCCUCCACUUCGGGAUAAGCCUGGGAGACUGGGUCUAAUACCUGAUAGCAGCUAUUUUUAGCGUGAUGGUUGGAAAGUUUUUUCGGUGUUGGAUGAGCUAGCGGCCUAUCAGCUUGUUGGUGGGGUAAUGGCGUACCAAGCCGGCGACGGGUAGCGGGACUGAGAGAGUGGAAGGCCAUACUGGGACUGACGGGAGGCAGCGGUUGGGACGGGAGGAAAAAGGGGGGAAUAUUGAACCAGGGGCGCAAGGCGGGUGCAGAAGGGCCGCGUGGGGGAUAACGGUCUUCGGGUUGAAAAAUCGUUUCGCUAGGGACGAAGCUUUUUGUGACGGUACCUAAAGAAGAAGCACCGGCUAACUACGUG
Molecule: ribosomal RNA, 465 nt
Filed under: uncultured bacterium
Lineage: Bacteria
Description: partial 16S ribosomal RNA
Rfam family: Bacterial small subunit ribosomal RNA
Source: RNAcentral